Molecule: ribosomal RNA, 301 nt
Filed under: uncultured bacterium
Lineage: Bacteria
Description: partial 16S ribosomal RNA
Rfam family: Bacterial small subunit ribosomal RNA
Source: RNAcentral
CAGCCGCCGCGGUAAAACGUAGGGUGCGAGCGUUAAUCGGAAUUACUGGGCGUAAAGCGGGCGCAGACGGCUACUUAAGCAGGAUGUGAAAUCCCCGGGCUCAACCUGGGAACUGCGUUCUGAACUGGGUGACUAGAGUGUGUCAGAGGGAGGUAGAAUUCCACGUGUAGCAGUGAAAUGCGUAGAGAUGUGGAGGAAUACCGAUGGCGAAGGCAGCCUCCUGGGAUAACACUGACGUUCAUGCCCGAAAGCGUGGGUAGCAAACAGGAUUAGAUACCCGAGUAGUCCCUGUCUCUUAUAC